GCCUACGAGGGGCCGGGAGGAGCCCGGCGCUGGCUGGUGCGCGCGGAGGCGGCUACAGAGUUUCCAAAUAGGAAAAGCGGCUGCGGGCCCGGGACGCGGCGGGGCGUUCCCCGGCUGCCUGCGCCCUGAGUCACCCGAAAAGAAGAAGAAUGUAAAGGUGCAAAAGUCAGUCCUCUACCUCCUGUCCAGCAGCCAUGCAGUUCCUUACCCCAAGCCCCCUAAUGUCACCAUCAGUUUUGUGUAUCCUUCCAGAGAGAAGCUAUACAUAUACAAGCAAGUCCAUCUGACAUGCAUCCUAUAAAUGUAUGUACCUUAUGCCCGGAUCAAACAUUUCAUCCUCCGACCAAGCUCGUGAGGUGGAGCUUCUUUGUGGCAUCUUGCUGAAGAGGAAGCAGAGGCUCAGUUGGAAGAGUGUCGCUAUUCCUCUCCAAGACCAUUGGCUCCAUAUGCUCCAGGUACCAUCUCCUCCCAACUUAUCAAGAACUGGACUCCUGAGAAAUCCUACCCUUUCUACCACCAGCAAUUCGUCCUCUGAAUCAGGUCAUUUGAAACUCCUCCUUGACUCCAUGUGCACAUCCAACUUCUGUGCCAUUUUUUUGGUCCAGUGGUUCUGUUGAUAUGCUGUAUUACGUUCAUUGAUUUUUGGACGGUAAACCAACCUCACAUGUCUGGGAUAAAUCCCACUUGAUCAUGGUAUCUAAUCCUUCUGAUAUGUUGCUGGGUUUGAUUUGCUAGUGUGUUGUGGAGGAUUUUUAUAUCUCUAGUCAUUAUUUUUAUUGAUCUCUAUUUUUUUCUUCUUGUACUGAAUUUUGCUUGGUUUUGUUAUCAGGGUAACAA
Long non-coding RNA from Canis lupus familiaris (dog), 837 nucleotides. RefSeq lists it as uncharacterized. The transcript has 4 exons. Lineage: Eukaryota; Metazoa; Chordata; Mammalia; Carnivora; Canidae. The record is from RefSeq and is a predicted model, not a curated record.